RNAcentral lists this ribosomal RNA (1349 nucleotides) under metagenome. RNAcentral describes it as "bacterial LSU rRNA". It matches the Rfam family "Bacterial large subunit ribosomal RNA", at positions 1564 to 2925 of the family's 2925-position model. The record is from RNAcentral.
UGAGUACGAGCUGCUACGGCAGCGAAGUGGGUGAUGUCAAGCUUCCAAGAAAAGCCCUAUACCCGUUAAGGCAUGAUGGCCUGUACCCGAAACCGACACAGGUGGGGUGGUAGAGAAUACCGAGGGGCGCGAGAUAACUCUCUCUAAGGAACUCGGCAAAAUGGCCCCGUAACUUCGGGAGAAGGGGUGCCACCGCAAGGUGGUCGCAGUGAAGAGGCCCAGGCGACUAUUUACCAAAAACACAGGUCUCCGCUAAGUCGCAAGACGAUGUAUGGGGGCUGACGCCUGCCCAGUGCCGGAAGGUUAAGGAAGCUGGUCAGCGUAAGCGAAGCUGGCGACUGAAGCCCCGGUGAACGGCGGCCGUAACUAUAACGGUCCUAAGGUAGCGAAAUUCCUUGUCGGGUAAGUUCCGACCCGCACGAAAGGCGUUACGAUCUGGGCGCUGUCUCGGAGAGAGGCUCGGCGAAAUAGAAUUGUCUGUGAAGAUGCGGACUACGUGCACCCGGACAGAAAGACCCUAUGAAGCUUUACUGUAGCUUGGUAUUGUGCCCGGGCUCUGAAUGCGCAGGAUAGGUGGGAGGCUUUGAUCCAUUGCUUGUGGGUGAUGGUGAGCCAACGGUGAGAUACCACUCUUUCAGAGCUAGGGUUCUAACGGUCACCCGUCAUCCGGGGACCGGACAGUAUCAGGUGGGCAGUUUGACUGGGGCAGUCGCCUCCUAAAAGGUAACGGAGGCGCGCAAAGGUUCCCUCAGGCUGGUUGGAAAUCAGCCGACGAGUGUAAAGGCAGAAGGGAGCUUGACUGUGAGACCUACAAGUCGAACAGGGACGAAAGUCGGCCUUAGUGAUCCGACGGUUCUGAGUGGAAGGGCCGUCGCUCAACGGAUAAAAGUUACUCUAGGAUAACAGGCUGAUCUCCCCCAAGAGUUCACAUCGACGGGGAGGUUUGGCACCUCGAUGUCGGCUCAUCGCAACCUGGGGCUGAAGUCGGUCCCAAGGGUUGGGCUGUUCGCCCAUUAAAGCGGUACGCGAGCUGGGUUCAGAACGUCGUGAGACAGUUCGGUCCAUAUCCGGUGCAUGCGCAGGAAUAUUGAGAGGAUUUCUCCCUAGUACGAGAGGACCGGGAGGAACGCACCUCUGGUGUGCCAGUUAUCGUGCCAACGGUAAACGCUGGGUAGCCAUGUGCGGAGAGGAUAACCGCUGAAAGCAUCUAAGUGGGAAGCCCACCUCAAGAUGAGUAUUCCCAUGGCGUUAGCCAGUAAGGUCACGGGAAGAACACCCGUUGAUAGGCUCUACGUGGAAGCCGGGUAACCGGUGAAGCGGAGGAGUACUAAUAGACCGAGGGCUUGACC